RNAcentral lists this long non-coding RNA (498 nucleotides) under Mustela putorius furo (domestic ferret). RNAcentral describes it as "lncRNA (ENSMPUG00000024775.1)". Lineage: Eukaryota; Metazoa; Chordata; Mammalia; Carnivora; Mustelidae. The record is from RNAcentral.
CAAACAUCUGUAAUCUGAUUUUAGAGCAAUCUGCAUGAUAUGAGUUGGUCAAGGAGAAAUAAUUUCCUAUCACAGUGGGAUAACAUGCAAAUGAAAUUUCGACUCCAGGCUCCCUCACCUCACAGAAUGUCAGAGAACUCUAGAGUUCUGCAGUUCUCAAUGAUAGUUGACUUGGUCUUGGCUGGAUGUUCUUGCUGAUCUUCUGCGGGAGGGGCCUGUUGCAGUGACAGUCAAAUGUCUGUGCCUGAGGUGGAAUUGCACUGACCUUGCCAGGGGCCAGGGUAAGUAAUCUGUGUGGUUUUGGUCUCAGGAGUUUUUCUCCCCCAAAUGCUUCCUAUAUAGCUUUGGAGGACAGGAAUGAAGAUGGCAGCCUCCCAGUCUGUGGCCUGGAUGAUCCGAGAGCUUGGGGUUCCACUCCUCAGUGCACCCUCAGAGAAAUGUGGUUAAUCCCUCCCAUCUCCUUGGUCUCCAGCUGCACCGCACUCCAUGCUCACCUGG